UACGUAGGGGGCAAGCGUUGUCCGGAUUUACUGGGCGUAAAGAGCGUGUAGGCGGCCACGCAGGUCCGUUGUGAAAACUGGAGGCUUAACCUCCAGACGUCGACGGAAACCGCGUGGCUAGAGUCCGGAAGAGGAGAGUGGAAUUCCUGGUGUAGCGGUGAAAUGCGCAGAUAUCAGGAAGAACACCAAUGGCGAAGGCAGCUCUCUGGGACGGUACUGACGCUGAGACGCGAAAGCGUGGGGAGCGAACAGG
This 253-nucleotide ribosomal RNA is filed under the name uncultured bacterium. Its description in RNAcentral is "partial 16S ribosomal RNA". It matches the Rfam family "Bacterial small subunit ribosomal RNA", at positions 524 to 776 of the family's 1533-position model. The record is from RNAcentral.